UACUCGAGUGGCGAACGGGUGAGUAACACGUGGGUGAUCUGCCCUGCACUUCGGGAUAAGCUUGGGAAACUGGGUCUAAUACCGGAUAGGAGCCAUCUUUAGUGUGGUGGUUGGAAAGUUUUUUCGGUGUAGGAUGAGCUCGCGGCCUAUCAGCUUGUUGGUGGGGUAAUGGCCUACCAAGGCGGCGACGGGUAGCCGGCCUGAGAGGGUGAUCGGCCACAUUGGGACUGAGACACGGCCCAA
This 243-nucleotide ribosomal RNA is filed under the name uncultured Actinomycetales bacterium. Its description in RNAcentral is "partial 16S ribosomal RNA". It matches the Rfam family "Bacterial small subunit ribosomal RNA", at positions 88 to 334 of the family's 1533-position model. Lineage: Bacteria; Bacillati; Actinomycetota; Actinomycetes; Actinomycetales. The record is from RNAcentral.